AGCCUAUACAGGUGUUGCAUGGCUGUCGUCAGCUCGUGUCGUGAGAUGUUCGGUUAAGUCCGCUAACGAGCGCAACCCUCGUCGUAUGUUAUAUGUGUCAUACGAGACUGCCGGUAAAAAGCCGGAGGAAGGUGAGGAUGAUGUCAAGUCAGCAUGACCUUUAUAUCCAGGGCCUACACACACGCUACAAUGGUCUGUACAAUGGGUAGCCAAGCCGCGAGGCGGAGGCCAAUCCUGAAAAGCAGGCCUCAGUUCAGAUUGCAGUCUGCAACUCGACUGCAUGAAGCCGGAGUUGCUAGUAACCGCAGGUCAGCAAUACUGCGGUGAAUACGUUCCCGGGUCUU
Molecule: ribosomal RNA, 344 nt
Filed under: uncultured Anaerolineaceae bacterium
Lineage: Bacteria; Bacillati; Chloroflexota; Anaerolineae; Anaerolineales; Anaerolineaceae
Description: bacterial SSU rRNA
Rfam family: Bacterial small subunit ribosomal RNA
Source: RNAcentral